GCCAUCUUGAUAAGGGAGUUUCGCAAUAAAGCAUUUGCCGGGUGGGUGACUGAUAGCAAAGCUGUGUUUCCUGGGGAAAAGUGUGGCAUCUUCAGUUUACAUCAACUUGCUCUCAUCUGAGACAAAACUCUGUGUGUCCCUGCUGCGAUGGAUGCCAGAUAGAGCCUGCUUGCCUAGGAUGGGGACAGAUGCCAUUGGAAACAGAUUGCAAGACCAUCACGAUGACUUCACGUCAGUGCCAGCAUAUGCAGCCGUGGAAUACAGUGAGCGCUCUCUGCGGCUGACAGCAAUAGCGGUGAUCUAAUUUACCCGGCGACUGGAAGAAACUCUUUGUACAGGCUCUGGGUCCCUUUGGAUUAGUGACUUCAAGGUCAACUGGAGGAGAAAGGAAGCAGGGCUGAGGGUCACCCUCUCCUGUCUCAUUUGCAUGCUCUUGAAUAUAUGAUUUUAAGAAACAUGCGUUUUUGAUCUGCAAUGUAAAAAUUCCUCAAUGAUUUUUUGUACAGAUGUGCAGAAUACAGGAAUGAAAUAAAAUAUUGAG
This 541-nucleotide long non-coding RNA is filed under the name Homo sapiens (human). RNAcentral describes it as "HSALNT0324802". The record is from RNAcentral. Lineage: Eukaryota; Metazoa; Chordata; Mammalia; Primates; Hominidae.